This 406-nucleotide ribosomal RNA is filed under the name uncultured bacterium. RNAcentral's name for it is "partial 16S ribosomal RNA". It matches the Rfam family "Bacterial small subunit ribosomal RNA", at positions 30 to 526 of the family's 1533-position model. The record is from RNAcentral.
AUUGAACGCUGGCGGCAGGCCUAACACAUGCAAGUCGAACGAGUGGCGGACGUGAGUGUAAUGUCUGGGACACUGCCUGCUGGAGGGGGAUAACUAAUGGAACCGGUUGCUAAAACCGCAUACCAGCAUAUAGGCCCAGAUGGGAUUAUCUUGUGGGUGGGGUAACGGCUCACCAAGGCGACGAUCCCUACCUGGUCUGAGAGGAUGACCAGCCACACUGGAACUGAGACACGGUCCAGACUCCUACGGGAGGCAGCAGUGGGGAAUAUUGGACAAUGGGCGCAAGCCUGAUGCAGCCAUGCCGCGUGUAUGAAGAAGGCCUUCGGGUUGUAAAGCACUUUAAGCGGGGAGGCGUUACCCGCAGAAGAAGCACCGGCUAACUCCGUGCCAGCAGCCGCGGUAAUAC